This 344-nucleotide transfer-messenger RNA is filed under the name Salmonella enterica. RNAcentral's name for it is "partial transfer-messenger RNA". It matches the Rfam family "transfer-messenger RNA". From Rfam's summary of the family: Bacterial tmRNA, also known as 10Sa RNA or SsrA, is named for its dual tRNA and mRNA-like properties. Its role is to liberate the mRNA from a stalled ribosome. To accomplish this part of the tmRNA is used as a reading frame that ends in a translation stop signal. The record is from RNAcentral. Lineage: Bacteria; Pseudomonadati; Pseudomonadota; Gammaproteobacteria; Enterobacterales; Enterobacteriaceae. RNAcentral also lists the same sequence under 1 other name.
GGGGCUGAUUCUGGAUUCGACGGGAUUUGCGAAACCCAAGGUGCAUGCCGAGGGGCGGUUGGCCUCGUAAAAAGCCGCAAAAAAAUAGUCGCAAACGACGAAAACUACGCUUUAGCAGCUUAAUAACCUGCUUAGAGCCCUCUCUCCCUAGCCUCCGCUCUUAGGACGGGGAUCAAGAGAGGUCAAACCCAAAAGAGAUCGCGCGGAUGCCCUGCCUGGGGUUGAAGCGUUAAAACGAAUCAGGCUAGUCUGGUAGUGGCGUGUCCGUCCGCAGGUGCCAGGCGAAUGUAAAGACUGACUAAGCAUGUAGUACCGAGGAUGUAGGAAUUUCGGACGCGGGUUCA